UACGUAGGGGGCAAGCGUUGCCCGGAAUUAUUGGGCGUAAAGGGCGCGUAGGCGGCACGGCAAGUCAGGAGUGAAAGCCCUGGGCUCAACCCGGGAACUGCUUUUGAAACUGCCGAGCUAGAGUGCGGAAGGGGCAACUGGAAUUCCCAGUGUAGCGGUGAAAUGCGUAGAUAUUGGGAAGAACGCCUGAGGCGAAGGCGGGUUGCUGGGCCGACACUGACGCUGAGGCGCGAAAGCCAGGGGAGCGAACGGG
This 253-nucleotide ribosomal RNA is filed under the name uncultured bacterium. RNAcentral describes it as "partial 16S ribosomal RNA". It matches the Rfam family "Bacterial small subunit ribosomal RNA", at positions 524 to 776 of the family's 1533-position model. The record is from RNAcentral.